GUAGAGCACUGUUUCGGCUAGGGGGCCAUCCCGGCUUACCAACCCGAUGCAAACUACGAAUACCGAAGAAUGUUAUCACGGGAGACACACGGCGGGUGCUAACGUCCGUCGUGAAGAGGGAAACAACCCAGACCGCCAGCUAAGGUCCCAAAGUCAUGGUUAAGUGGGAAACGAUGUGGGAAGGCACAGACAGCCAGGAUGUUGGCUUAGAAGCAGCCAUCAUUUAAAGAAAGCGUAAUAGCUCACUGGUCGAGUCGGCCUGCGCGGAAGAUGUAACGGGGCUAAACCAUGCACCGAAGCUGCGGCAGCGACACUAUGUGUUGUUGGGUAGGGGAGCGUUCUGUAAGCCGUCGAAGGUGGCCUGUGAGGGCUGCUGGAGGUAUCAGAAGUGCGAAUGCUGACAUAAGUAACGAUAAAGCGGGUGAAAAGCCCGCUCGCCGGAAGACCAAGGGUUCCUGUUCAACGUUAAUCGGGGCAGGGUGAGUCGACCCCUAAGGCGAGGCCGAAAGGCGUAGUCGAUGGGAAACAGGUUAAUAUUCCUGUACUCGGUGUUACUGCGAAGGGGGGACGGAGAAGGCUAUAUCAGCCGGGCGACGGUUGUCCCGGUUUAAGCGUGUAGGCGGAGAGUUUAGGUAAAUCCGGACUCUUGUUAACGCUGAGGCGUGACGACGAGGCACUACGGUGCUGAAGUGAUAAAUGCCCAGCUUCCAGGAAAAGCCUCUAAGCAUCAGGUAACACAGAAUCGUACCCCAAACCGACACAGGUGGUCAGGUAGAGAAUACCAAGGCGCUUGAG
This 795-nucleotide ribosomal RNA is filed under the name Mesorhizobium sp. RNAcentral describes it as "partial 23S ribosomal RNA". It matches the Rfam family "Bacterial large subunit ribosomal RNA", at positions 902 to 1694 of the family's 2925-position model. Lineage: Bacteria; Pseudomonadati; Pseudomonadota; Alphaproteobacteria; Hyphomicrobiales; Phyllobacteriaceae. The record is from RNAcentral.